UUGACGGGGCCGCACAAGCGGCGGAGCAUGCGGAUUAAUUCGAUGCAACGCGAAGAACCUUACCAAGGCUUGACAUACACCGGUAACGCCCAGAGAUGGGUGCCCCUUUGUGGUCGGUGGACAGGUGGUGCAUGGGUUGUCGUCAGCUCGUGUCGUGAGAUGUUGGGUUAAGUCCCGCAACGAGCGCAACCCUCGUCCUAUGUUGCCAGCGGGUCAUGCCGGGGACUCAUGGGAGACUGCCGGGGUCAACUCGGAGGAAGGUGGGGAUGACGUCAAAUCAUCAUGCCCCUUAUGUCUUGGGCUUCACGCAUGCUACAAUGGCCGGUACAAAGGGCUGCGAUACCGCGAGGUGGAGCGAAUCCCAGAAAGCCGGUCUCAGUUCGGAUUGGGGUCUGCAACUCGACCCCAUGAAGUCGGAGUCGCUAGUAAUCGCAGAUCAGCAACGCUGCGGUGAAUACGUUCCCGGGCCUU
This 471-nucleotide ribosomal RNA is filed under the name uncultured Cellulomonas sp. RNAcentral's name for it is "bacterial SSU rRNA". It matches the Rfam family "Bacterial small subunit ribosomal RNA", at positions 910 to 1382 of the family's 1533-position model. The record is from RNAcentral. Lineage: Bacteria; Bacillati; Actinomycetota; Actinomycetes; Micrococcales; Cellulomonadaceae.